Molecule: unclassified non-coding RNA, 337 nt
Filed under: soil metagenome
Description: partial contains 5.8S ribosomal RNA, internal transcribed spacer 2, and large subunit ribosomal RNA
Rfam family: 5.8S ribosomal RNA (bases 1-120)
Source: RNAcentral
GAUGAAGAACGUAGCGAAAUGCGAUAAGUAAUGUGAAUUGCAGAAUUCAGUGAAUCAUCGAAUCUUUGAACGCACAUUGCGCCCCUUGGUAUUCCGGGGGGCAUGCCUGUUCGAGCGUCAUUUCAACCCUCAAGCUCUGCUUGGUAUUGGGCACCGUCCUUUGCGGGCGCGCCUCAAAGACCUCGGCGGUGGCGUCUUGCCUCAAGCGUAGUAGAAUACACCUCGCUUCGGAGCGUAAGGCGUCGCCCGCCGGACGAACCUUCUGAACUUUUCUCAAGGUGGACCUCGGAUCAGGUAGGGAUACCCGCUGAACUUAAGCAUAUCAAUAAGCGGAGGA